UUGGAGGGCAAGUCUGGUGCCAGCAGCCGCGGUAAUUCCAACUCCAAUAGCGUAUAUUAAAGUUGUUGCAGUUAAAAAGCUCGUAGUUGAAUUUUGGAUUCUUCCAAUUGGUCCAUCUUUUAGAUGAGUACUGGUUGUGUGGGGUCUAUCCGCCUGGUAAUACGUAAUGUCCUUUAUUGGAUGUUGCGGGUAGUCAGGACCUUUACCUUGAAAAAAUUAGAGUGUUUGAAGCAGGCUUAUGCCGGAAUACAUUAGCAUGGAAUAAUAGAAUAGGACGAAGUUGUUUUAUUUUGUUGGUUUCUAGGACAACCGUAAUGAUUAAUAGGGAUAGUUGGGGGCAUUAGUAUUCAAUUGUCAGAGGUGAAAUUCUUGGAUUUAUUGAAGACUAACUACUGCGAAGGCAUUUGCCAAGGAUGUUUUCAUUAAUCAAGAACGAAAGUUAGGGGAUCGAAGACGAUCAGAUACCGUCGUAGUCUUAACCAUAAACUAUGCCGACUAGGGAUCGGGCGAUGUUGUUUCCAUGACUCGCUCGGCACCUUACGGGAAACCAAAG
RNAcentral lists this ribosomal RNA (553 nucleotides) under uncultured Archaeospora. RNAcentral's name for it is "SSU rRNA". It matches the Rfam family "Eukaryotic small subunit ribosomal RNA", at positions 548 to 1103 of the family's 1831-position model. Lineage: Eukaryota; Fungi; Glomeromycota; Glomeromycetes; Archaeosporales; Archaeosporaceae. The record is from RNAcentral.